This 460-nucleotide ribosomal RNA is filed under the name uncultured bacterium. RNAcentral's name for it is "partial 16S ribosomal RNA". It matches the Rfam family "Bacterial small subunit ribosomal RNA", at positions 338 to 795 of the family's 1533-position model. The record is from RNAcentral.
CCUACGGGAGGCAGCAGUGAGGAAUAUUGGUCAAUGGACGAGAGUCUGAACCAGCCAAGUAGCGUGAAGGAUGACUGCCCUAUGGGUUGUAAACUUCUUUUAUAAAGGAAUAAAACGAGGCACGUGUGCCUUUUUGCAUGUACUUCAUGAAUAAGGAUCGGCUAACUCCGUGCCAGCAGCCGCGGUAAUACGGAGGGUCCGUGCGUUAUCCGGAUUUAUUGGGUUUAAAGGGAGCGUAGAUGGGUUGUUAAGUUAGUUGUGAAAGUUUGCGGCUCAACCGUGAAAGUGCAGUUGAUACUGGCAGUCUUGAGGACAGUGGAGGUAGGCGGAAUUCGUGGUGUAGCGGUGAAAUGCUUAGAUAUCACGAAGAACCCCGAUUGCGAAGGCAGCUUACUAAACUGUGACUGACGUUGAUGCUCGAAGGUGUGGGUAUCGAACAGGAUUAGAUACCCGGGUAGUC